Molecule: ribosomal RNA, 467 nt
Filed under: uncultured bacterium
Lineage: Bacteria
Description: partial 16S ribosomal RNA
Rfam family: Bacterial small subunit ribosomal RNA
Source: RNAcentral
GACGAACGCUGGCGGCGUGCUUAACACAUGCAAGUCGAACGGAAAGGCCUCUUUCGGGGGGUACUCGAGUGGCGAACGGGUGAGUAACACGUGAGUAACCUGCCCUUGACUUUGGGAUAACUUCAGGAAACUGGGGCUAAUACCGGAUAGGAGCUCCUGCUGCAUGGUGGGGGUUGGAAAGUUUCGGCGGUUGGGGAUGGACUCGCGGCUUAUCAGCUUGUUGGUGGGGUAGUGGCUUACCAAGGCUUUGACGGGUAGCCGGCCUGAGAGGGUGACCGGCCACAUUGGGACUGAGAUACGGCCCAGACUCAUACGGGAGGCAGCAGUGGGGAAUAUUGCACAAUGGGUGGAAGCCUGAUGCAGCAACGCCGUGUGCGGGAUGACGGCCUUCGGGUUGUAAACCGCUUUCGCUCAUGACGAAGCUUUGUGUGACGGUAGUGGGUAAAGAAGCACCGGCUAACUACGUG